GAGGGUAUAGCUCAGUGGUAGAGUGCAUGCUUAGCAGGCACAAGGUCCUGGGUUCAAUCCCCAGUACCUCCA
This 72-nucleotide transfer RNA is filed under the name Camelus bactrianus (Bactrian camel). It matches the Rfam family "tRNA". From Rfam's summary of the family: Transfer RNA (tRNA) molecules are approximately 80 nucleotides in length. Their secondary structure includes four short double-helical elements and three loops (D, anti-codon, and T loops). The record is from Rfam by way of RNAcentral. Lineage: Eukaryota; Metazoa; Chordata; Mammalia; Artiodactyla; Camelidae. RNAcentral also lists the same sequence under 2 other names.